GAGACGGUAUCGCUGAAUUGUGAACUGUACUCCGGCUAGGCUUUAAGUAUUGAGUAAUUGCUUUUGGAUGUACCUUCAUAACUGUACAACACGGUUACGUUGGAUUCUGCUCUGAGCCGUAAGGACCGAGACAGAAGG
This is a regulatory RNA element of Paenibacillus sp. FSL R7-0331, 138 nucleotides long. It matches the Rfam family "pan motif". Lineage: Bacteria; Bacillati; Bacillota; Bacilli; Caryophanales; Paenibacillaceae. The record is from Rfam.